This 497-nucleotide ribosomal RNA is filed under the name uncultured bacterium. RNAcentral's name for it is "partial 16S ribosomal RNA". It matches the Rfam family "Bacterial small subunit ribosomal RNA", at positions 28 to 507 of the family's 1533-position model. The record is from RNAcentral.
GAUGAACGCUGGCGGCGUGCCUAAUACAUGCAAGUCGAGCGAACAGACGAGGAGCUUGCUCCUCUGACGUUAGCGGCGGACGGGUGAGUAACACGUGGAUAACCUACCUAUAAGACUGGGAUAACUUCGGGAAACCGGAGCUAAUACCGGAUAAUAUAUUGAACCGCAUGGUUCAAUAGUGAAAGACGGUUUUGCUGUCACUUAUAGAUGGAUCCGCGCCGCAUUAGCUAGUUGGUAAGGUAACGGCUUACCAAGGCAACGAUGCGUAGCCGACCUGAGAGGGUGAUCGGCGACACUGGAACUGAGACACGGUCAAGACUCCUACGGGAGGCAGCAGUAGGGAAUCGUCCGCAAUGGGCGAAAGCCUGACGGAGCAACGCCGCGUGAGUGAUGAAGGUCUUCGGAUCGUAAAACUCUGUUAUUAGGGAAGAACAAAUGUGUAAGUAACUAUGCACGUCUUGACGGUACCUAAUCAGAAAGCCACGGCUAACUACGUG